GGGGGGGGGGGGGGGGGGGCGGGGGGGGGGGAGGGGGGGGGGGGGGGGGGGGUGGGGGGGGCGCGGGUGGCGAAGGGGGGAGGAACACGGGGGUAAGCUGCCCACAACUUUGGGGGAAGGCUAGGAAACUGGGGCUAGUACUGGGUAUGGGCUCCUGCUGCAUGGGGGGGGUUGGAAAGCUCCGGGGGUUGUGGAUGGACUCGCGGCCUAUCAGCUUGUUGGUGGGGGAGUGGCCUACCAAGGCGGCGACGGGUAGCCGGCCUGAGAGGGUGACCGGCCACAUUGGGACUGAGAUACGGCCCAGACUCCUACGGGAGGCAGCAGUGGGGAAUAUUGCACAAUGGGCGCAAGCCUGAUGCAGCAACGCCGCGUGCGGGAUGACGGCCUUCGGGUUGUAAACCGCUUUCAGCAGGGACGAAGCUUUUUGUGACGGUACCUGCAGAAGAAGCACCGGCUAACUACGUG
This 465-nucleotide ribosomal RNA is filed under the name uncultured bacterium. Its description in RNAcentral is "partial 16S ribosomal RNA". The stretch from base 52 to 465 matches the Rfam family "Bacterial small subunit ribosomal RNA", at positions 39 to 507 of the family's 1533-position model. The record is from RNAcentral.